Molecule: ribosomal RNA, 247 nt
Filed under: uncultured bacterium
Lineage: Bacteria
Description: partial small subunit ribosomal RNA
Rfam family: Bacterial small subunit ribosomal RNA
Source: RNAcentral
AGAAUCAACGCUGGCGGCGUGCCUAACACAUGCAAGUCGAACGAGAAAGUGGAGCAAUCCAUGAGUAAAGUGGCGGCACGGGUGAGUAACACGUGACUAACCUACCCUUGAGUGGGGGAUAACCUAAGGGAAACCUGGGCUAAUACCGCAUAAUACCUUCGGGUCAAAGGAGCAAUUCGCUUAAGGAGGGGUCGCGGCCGAUUAGUUAGUUGGCGGGGUAAUGGCCCACCAAGACUGUGAUCGGUAU